RNAcentral lists this ribosomal RNA (468 nucleotides) under uncultured bacterium. RNAcentral describes it as "partial 16S ribosomal RNA". It matches the Rfam family "Bacterial small subunit ribosomal RNA", at positions 28 to 507 of the family's 1533-position model. The record is from RNAcentral.
GACGAACGCUGGCGGCGUGCUUAACACAUGCAAGUCGAACGGAAAGGCCCUGCGUUUGUGGGGUGCUCGAGUGGGGAACGGGUGAGUAACACGUGAGUAACCUGCCCUUGACUUUGGGGUAACUUCAGGAAACUGGGGCUAAUACCGGAUAGGAUAUCCUGCUGCGUGGUGGGGGUUGGAAAGUUUCGGCGGUGGGGGAUGGACUCGCGGCUUAUGAGCUGGUUGGUGGGGUAGUGGCUUACCAAGGCUUUGACGGGUAGCCGGCCUGAGAGGGUGACCGGCCACAUUGGGACUGAGAGACGGACCAGAAUCCUACGGGAGGCAGCAGUGGGGAACAUUGCACAAUGGGCGGAAGCCUGAUGCAGCAACGCCGCGUGCGGGAUGACGGCCUUCGGGUUGUAAACCGCUUUCGCCUGUGACGAAGCGUGAGUGACGGUAAUGGGUAAAGAAGCACCGGCUAACUACGUG